RNAcentral lists this ribosomal RNA (204 nucleotides) under uncultured Lachnospiraceae bacterium. Its description in RNAcentral is "partial 16S ribosomal RNA". It matches the Rfam family "Bacterial small subunit ribosomal RNA", at positions 293 to 515 of the family's 1533-position model. The record is from RNAcentral. Lineage: Bacteria; Bacillati; Bacillota; Clostridia; Lachnospirales; Lachnospiraceae.
UGAGAGGGUGAACGGCCACAUUGGGACUGAGACACGGCCCAGACUCUUACGGGAGGCAGCAGUGGGGAAUAUUGCACAAUGGGCGAAACCCUGAUGCAGCGACGCCGCGUGAAGGAAGAAGUAUUUCGGUAUGUAAAGCUCUAUCAGCAGGAAGAUAAUGACGGUACCUGACUAAGAAGCUCCGGCUAAAUACGUGCCAGCAGC